ACGUACGUUUGAAAUCACAAUUAUUUCCUCGUAUUUAUUGCUUUAUUGGGAUGCCCUUUAUCAGUUUAACCAAAGAAUAACCUCAUAGUUUUUGAUUUACCACCGAUGCAGAUACUCUGAUGAGAAUGCUGAGAAAAGCUUUGGAGCUGAAGGAGGUCAUGGCUGCAAGUGCGGUGCAAACUGCAAAUGUGACCCUUGUACCUGUUGAAGACAAAGCUAGUACAACUCCCCAAAAGCAGCUUUCUCUUCACUUGUUAUAGAAAAAGUCAUUGGGGGGAAGAAUUAAGAAGUACUUUUGGUGUGGUCUUUGCUUGUAAUAUAUAAUAAGAUGGUCAUGGCUUCUGCAAAUCUAUGUACUGGAUUUGUUAGCUAAUUAUGUCUAUGUUCUCUUGUGUUGUCCUUUGUGAGUUGCAACCAUCCUUGCUUUGUAUCAGUUCACUGAAAUGCAAUGCUUAUUGAAGAAAGAAAUGUAUGUUGUCAUGCAUCUCCAAUUGGUGGUCAAAUCUUCACAACAAUUGUUCCUGCACACCAAAAAUUAACAACUAGUCAACAAAAUAUAAAACCUUACAAAACUUGGCACAUUUAUAUAUAGGUUGUGCAGGUGCUACAACAACGUUAUUUAGAAAAAAAAAAAAAAAGAAAUAAGAUCUUCAAUCCAUCAAAUGAGUCGGAUACACAGCACAUGAUUGAAUUGGAAAAAAAAUCAUAAUUUCAUUAUAUAUAUAUAUAUAUAUGUGUAUGUGCGCUCGCGCGCGCAUGUACAUAUAUAUAAUAUAUAUAUAUAUGUAUGUGUAUGUGCGCUAUAUAUAUAUAUAUAUAUAUAUAUAUAUAUAUAUAUAUAUAUAUAUAUGUAUGUGUGCAGCACAAGUAUAAAUCUCACGAUAGAAGUUCAAUUUGAAUCAUCAUCAAGGUUUUCAAAAUCGAGAUCCUAUCUAGAAUCGUUUUUUGGUUUGCAAGAUCGGAUCGUAGAAUCAGUAGAUCCUACAAAAAAAAUGUAAUAAAUUGUCAUAUUUAUAAUUUUUAAGUUUGCAAUUAUAAUGUAAUAAAUGUAAUAAAUUGUCAUAUUUAUAAAAAAACAAAAAGUCCUUUGUAGUAUACUUAAUUUACAAAAAAAACCUCUAUGAUUUUAAAAUAUACAAAAUAACACCUCAUGUUUUGAAUUAAAUUAUAAAUUAAUAAAAUUCGUUAAAAUUAAUGAAAAUGACGGUCUUGACUAUUAAAUUUACUGGAUUUCGUUAAAUUUAUCGUUAAAAUUACCGGAUUCCGUUAAAUUUUUCAUUAAAUUUAUCAGAUUUUAUUAAGUUUAACGAAUUUUGUUAGUUUACAAUUUAGUUCAAAACAUGAUGUAUCGUUUUGUAUGUUUUGAAAUCACAAGGAGCUUUUCUGUGUAUUAGGUAUACUACAUAGAGCUUUUUUGUUUUUAACCCAAAAAAAAAGGAGAAAUAAGAUCUUCAAUCCAUCAAAUGAGUCGGAUACACAGCACAUGAUUGAAUUGGAAAAAAAAUCAUAAUUUCAUUAUAUAUAUAUAUAUAUAUAUAUAUGUAUGUAUGUAUAUGUGCGCGCGCCAGAGGAGAAGGGUUCAUAAGGGCUAGGAGAAGUUCCAAUGUUGUUGCUAACGAGAAGGGCAACUUUCAUCAGCAAAUGAAUACUUCCCGUGCACAAGUAUAAAUCUCACGAUAGAAGUUCAAUUUGAAUCAUCAGCAAAAUUUUUUACUGUUCCUCAAACAUGCGUUCACGGGAGGAAGCGGGGCCUUGACUGAUGCCAAACACUGUCUAUGAACAAGAGAAUACAAGUAUAUGGUGAUAUUAGCGGUUUGAAUAAAUCAUAUAAAAAAUCAAAUAGAAGAAAAAUAAAUUUAAUUAGAAUUCUUAUUAUCCAUUUAAUACAAUUUUAUUCUAAUUUACAUCUCAUAUCUUCGUACAACUCUUAAUAUUACUAUUUAAAAUUUAGAGAAAUAUAAUUAUUCAAAAUCAAAAUAUUAGGGAUUAAAAGUGCGAAUUCAAGUUUGUUGACUAACGCCAAUUUGAUGUUGACAGUUAGUGUUGAUCAUUAGUCAUCCUUGAAUUUGCAUUAAUUGUCAUGAAUAUGCCUAAAAUCAAAACCUUUAGGAACCAAUUUGCUUUAGACGAAACAUUGGGACCGAAUUAAUAUAUUGGUCAAAUAUUGAACACGAAUUUACCAUACAUUAGAUGCAAGUUAGUGGCCGGUUUUUGGAGGUUAAUCUGGGAUUAGGGUUAAUUGCUUAACAAAAGUCAUUACCGGAGUUGACAAAAAAAAAAAAAGAUGCAAGUUAGCGUCCACGCGGUCUUUCGAUCAACAGAUCAAUAUGCACACCCGUAAUUGCCAUGGAUAUUAUUUAGUAAAUUAGUCCUUUUGUUGGCCAAAAUUGAGGUACGCUUUGAAAAGCGUAAAUUUGUCAUACUGACCAAAAUCUGUUCUACCUUUCGGGUAUCAUAAACCCUCAACUUAAAAUUUACGGUUGGAUGAUAAAAGAGUGUUAACCUUUAAAUUGCAACAAUUUUAAUAAUGUAAAAUGUAAAUUCUACUAUUGUCAAUGAUGUGGCAAUUAGUGAUUGAAUAUAAAAAAGAGAAAAUGAUUUUCUAAAGGGACUAUAUUGGUACUAAAUAAAGAUGAGAGAAUAAAGAUCACCAUAAAAUUUUCUUCUUUUGUCUGCAGCUGCAACCAUCUAACCUAUUUCUACUCUUAUUCUUAGGAAGGGAGAGUCUAGACAGACCUGUAUGGGGGUUGGGAGAUAAACCACUAGACUAAACAAGUGCAUUACUGCACUUUUCUGUAUCCCCCUGCACUGGAGAGUUUUUGAAAGAGCUCUUUUCUGACCAUUGGACUAAGGGCCAACGGUUACUGUAAACUUUUCUUAACAUAAGUGAUGUGCCAUUACCAGUUGCUCGGUAAUUGGUGGAGUCUAUGCGCAAUUCUUGACGUUUGUUGCCAAAAGAACUAUCAAAACAUAUAUCCAAAAUAAUUUAAUUUUAAAAUUUAUUACCUUUAUCAAUUUUUUUUUUGCCACAUAGGUUACACAUGUACUGGGAUAGAGAUAAAAGCGAGCUCCAUUUCUUUUUCUUAUCUAAUAUCUUCCUCGAUUCUCUCUCUGAAUCUUCCCGCAUUUUUUUCCUUUCAUUAUCUUUUUCUUGACAAACAUAAUUUUGAGAAGUCAAUAUUUAUAUUAACAAUAUCUAAAACUUCAUUAUAUUCUUGAUAUUGUUUCGGUGGUUGAAAAUAUUCUUCUCGAAUUGAUAAUCUCAAGAUAAAUCAAUCUGCUUGUGCCUUUAUAAUAAAAAAAAUUAAAAUUUUCAGUUCAUGUUAGAAAUUAUAGACUAGAUUAAAGCUUUCCCUUUUUGUUAUUCUACACAGCAAUUAGGAUAACUAGAUGGCAAUAAUAACAUCAUUAUGGGAAUAAAAUUUGAAAGCUAAUCACAUUGAGAAUAUUUUUUGGAAAGAGUGUUAUUUUGACAAGAAAAACUCGGUUAUCCACAAUGGGGUGCAAUAAAGGGUAUUACACCCAAAAAUUAUAUCCUCUUAUCAUAAUCAUUACACGCAUACUAGACAUGCAAGGCAACAGAAAAUUGGUUGCAUGUCCCAUUUGAUAAUUUUAAAAGCUUUAAAUUUUAUGGGAUAAGUGUUGUAAAUUAUUAAAAUAAAUAUGUGAUUUGAUUGUGAAUUUAUAUUAUUAUAUUAUGUAGAGUAUAAUUUAUAGUGAGAGAUAGUGUAAUGAAAAAGGGGAUAUUAUAGUAAUGAUAUGGUAGAUGAGUGUAAGCCAUGAAUGUAAUCCAUUGUGGAUGCAAACACAAUUUCUUCCCAAUAACCAGAAUCAGCUGCCUUAGAUUUGAUUUAGACAUAAAUGCAAUCUCUUGUCAAUAGUUUUUGUCCAUUUUAGCCGAUGUGUUUGAAUUUUUCUAUCAAUUAAAAUCAAGUUGCUUUGCCCGUUACGGUAAAAAUCUUGGAAGCAACAACUUGAAAGGGAUUCUCGUGUCUUAUUCAUUUUUGUGGAGCAGUAGCCAGCAGGCACUCUUUGACAAUUUCAAAGGGGGUGAUCACGCUAUACGUUUGGUCGGACUUGCAAUCUUUCACACCAUUAAAUAAGUGGUGAUUGGAUGAGAAUUGAGUGAAGCACCCUAAUAAAAGGGGAAAAAAAAAAAACGCUCAUUACGUUUGAUCAUUUUCUAUUUGCUUCAUUUUUUUUACAAUUUUAACUUUUAUUAAAAACAAGAAAAAGCCCUCUCUUCAUUGCUUUUAGGGUAAAUUAACUUUAUCCCCAUGUGGUUUCAUAUUUUACCACAUAACCCCCUUGUGGUUUAAAAAUCUAUGUAUAAAUCCCUCCGGAUUUGGGUUAAUAUGUUACCGUUAGUUUUGGGUUAAAGAAAUGAUUUUGAAAACCUAAUACUUUGUCCUACAAAAUCUUAAUUUUCUCAAAAUACAAAAGAGAUGGAAGGGAAAUAAUAAAUAAAUAAAUCAUGAGGAAUUAUAUAUAAGUUUUUAAACCAUAUAUAUAAACCGUAGAGGAGUUAUGUAGUACAGCAUCAAAUUACAAGGGGUAAAAGGUAAUUUAUCUUUGCUUUUAAUUGUUACAAAUUUAAAUAUGGUAACAGCAAAAUAUAAGUCCUCGUACUCGCCUGCUAAUUCAAUUAUUUACGAAAAAUGUUUCUUCGUCGAUCAAAGGAUUCUUUCAUAAUGAACAAGUACAAUAACCGGAAAAGAAAAUGCAACAAGCUUAACUUUUCGCUUUGGUUGCUUUUUAAUGAUUUAAUAUGUUUUGAAUAUUCUUAAUUGUGUCUGUAUAGCAGCAAGUUUCAUUCACGAUCUUCAAGUUGAUAGUAACAUAAUGCUUGGAAUAUGAGUUCUUGAUUGUGACAUUCUAAAGAUCACAAGUAUUAGAGAGCAGUCAUAAUAAAUUUUUUUUUUCUAGUUAAUAGAAAUAGUCAUUCGCUACACCCGUUUCAUCUUAAUCAAUAAAAAGAAAAGUUCAAAGAAAAAAGUGGUGAUUCCUUUUUUUUUUUUUUUUUUUUUUAUAAAUUGCAAUUGACUAAAUAUCCCUGGUUAUAUAGUAUUAAGGGUUUGAAUAAAAAUGGGUAUGCGUGCAUUCACAUAAUAAGUUAGGUAUAAUUUAGAUAUUUUAACGAGUGUCCUAUUAAUCGAAGAGGUCUUGGUUUAAUAGUUAAGAUUGAAACUUCAAAAUUCAGAAAAUUAGGUCUCAAUCCCUUCUUUUUAACCUUUUACUCCUUUGAUCCCACUCCUUCCUAGUAGGAAAAAAGAAAAAAGAGUAUUAAAAGGGUAGACUACUUUGAGGAACGUUACUUUCAAGAGGAAAAAUAUAUUAAAGUAGACAAGUAACAAGGACAUAAAGGCAAAACUUAAGAAAGCGAAGAUUUGAAGGCAUACGCGUUGCUGACGGCUUUCUAAGCAAGAGAGAAUGCCAAGUCUUCCAGCUCACGACCACUUGACCUCAAGUAUCAAUGGUCUGGCUAAAAAAAAAAAAAAAAAAAAUCAACCGAAAAAAAUGAAAAGUUUGGUCCCUAUGAUUUGAACGUGAUGCAAUUUAGAGUUAACAAGUUAAUUUGCGAAAUCAAUUGCUAUUUAUGUUAGAGUACCCAAAUCAAUUUUACGCCUUCUUCUUGUCAAUUUUGACGUGUAAAACAAUUUUGAAUCUUCCAAAUGUGGUAGAAUAUAAGAUGCCAAAUCUGUCAAAAUUGAUUCAUAAAAGCCAAGACAAUAAACCAAUUGUUAUAGUGCAUGCGUACAAUAAAUCACAAGGAAACCAAUCAAGUUAUCACUUAUCAAUGCCUUACAAGUUUCAAUAACAUACCCCGGUGGAUAGGAUAUUUAUAAAUAGCAAAGCCAAUUCAUAUGGAGUGUUUGCUACGAAAUGUCCAAGUAAUCAAUGAUCAAGUGUAGAAAAGGAUAGGUGUUGACAAAAUGUUGUUUAAUCCAUUUGAUUAGUAUACGUAAAUCACCUCUUAUUGGUACACUUGUUCAUAUCAUUGUCAACAAAUUUCUUUAGCUUUGCACUAUAAAUAAAGCCAACAACUCUGGCAAAGAACUCGUACAAGAGUUGAUUUUACGAGUAGUAUUGUCCAUUAACAUAUUCUUCUGCUCUUCAAACAUCUCUGUGAAGAUGUCUUCCUGUGGAGGAAACUGCGGGUAAAGUUCUUGUAUUUUUUUUUGAGCAUAGAUAUGUAUAGUUAAUCUGGUGUUUUCUCAUAUCCUUUGGCCACUUACAGGGAAAAUAGUAUUGAGGAGUAUGCAAAUGAUAAAAAUUCAAAAUUUCAUGUGAUUUUUCUGAUUGUUUAGAUUUCGAAAAUCCCAUUUGACAAAUCUGUUAAAUUAGCCCUUGAUUGAUGGUAUUUGUCAGAAUAUGGUCAUGUCUGUAUGGUUAUGCUAUAAUCUUGAAUUUGGUCAUUGCUCUUAUACUUUUGUGUUUCUAUUUAUUGAAUAUUUGAACUGAAUUUUCUCCUUGAAUUUUGUUUCUGCCGGCAGAAAGAUGUAUCCUGAUGUGGAAAAGGUCACAACUGUGACCAUCAUCGAGGGAGUUGCACCAAAGAACACGUACGUUUGAGUUCAUAUCCUGUUUUCAUAUUUAUUUAUUUAUAUGUCGAGAUCCAAAAUAUAACUCAACCCAAGAAAAAGUUUUAUAUCGGUAAUCCGCCAUUGAUGCAGAUACUCUGAUGAAUCUGCUGAGAAUAGCUCUGGUGCUGAAGGAGGUCAUGGCUGCAAGUGCGGUGCAAACUGCAAAUGUGACCCUUGUACCUGUUGAAGACAUAAUAUAUAGUUAGUUCCAAGUCCCCCAAAGCAGCUGUUCUGAUCUUGUCAUCAAGAAAACUCUUUGGGGGGAAAGAGAAGUGCUUUUGAUGUGGUCUGUGCUUGUAAUAUAUAAUAAGAUGGUCAUGGCUUCUGCAAAUCUAUGUCCUAGAUUUGUCAGAUAAAUCAUGGCCGUGAACUCCUGAGUCCUUGUAACCAUCCUUGUUUUGUGUCAGUUUACUGAAUUGCAAUGCUUGCUUAUUGAAGAAAUGAAUGUUGUUAUAUAUGUAUAUAUGUGUGUGUGUGUGUAUAUAUAUCUUGACUAUCUUGACAACAAUUUGAUCGUACAGAAGAAUACAUUAACAACAACUAUUCAACAAGACACAGAAAACUUACAGAACCUCAGAAAGUACGGUUUGUGCUAGUGCUACAGCAACAACAUUAUGCAGCAAACAAAAGUUCUUCCCUGCAUCAAACGAGUUAGAUACACAUCCUGUGGCACAUGAUUAAACUUGGAAAGCCCUCAAUUGUCAUAUAUAAAAUAAAACAAAAAUGAGAUCAUGUAAAAUAGAUGUUGGAAUGCUCAACCUAAUAAAGCAGACGUUGUUUUGAUCCUGUCAUUGCUCCUAAUUCAUUCAUUUCUCUUUUAAGUAUCCAUUCAUUUCUCAUGAUUCAGUUUAACUGAACAUGAAAUAUGGUAUGCUGCGCUGAUCUUGACCAUGUCAUGACUUGGAAUUCAAUAAUUGCCUUUCAAAGUUAUAGGGUUGAAGAUGUGAAGGGUAUGAUAUGCUAAUCGUGUCUUUCUGGAGGAUAUAUUUCAACAAAGUGAUAUAGAAUCAUGCGUAUGAAGACGUAGUUACAUUUGAAGAUCUUGCCUCUUCAUUCUACGAGAAACAAGGAAACCUAAAAGUUUACCAUUCACCACAUUCAUGAUGCACCAAUUAGUUGUCAAACAACAGUUGUUUGGUUCAGUGAAAAACAUUAUUGUAAUUACUGGAGAUCUAGCAUGCACUUCCCCAACAUUAGCUGCAAUUAAGCUUCCUUCACCAUACUGUCUGAAUUAAGAUACAUACCGGGGGUGGUUUCCACAAAAUCAGCAAAUUGGGCCAGCAGCACCAACUUGCAAUUUGGUUGAUGCUUCAAAUGACUAGGAGGAAUUCCCAUGUUAUGACUGAAACGAAGGGCAACAUUCAUCAGCAAAUGACUACUUUCUGUGCAAAGCUUAUAUCUAGCUGGAGUUCAAUCCAAUAUCAGCAAAAUAUUGGAGUUACUUUACAAAUUCCCAAAAAAAAAAAAAAAAAAAUCAGAUCUUUGCAUGAACUACCAGAAACCCUAAUUCUCUUUUAAAAGAAAACUGUGGCUAGAUUUCAUGUAACUAACAAUUGUUUUUCUUUUCUUAUUUCACUCCUACAAGUAACAGCUUCUGAUAAGCUUAGUAUUCAUUCAUUUAUUGAACCAUUUGGUGUGAAGGUUCAAGGUAACGAGGAGGCUGUUUCUGGAACAGAUGCAGAACUCUCAUCAAGGGCACCAGAUUUCUCUUGCUCAGCUACUACCACAAGCAUCUCUAGGCGUUUAUCAAAAAUUAGUGCGCUCUCGUCUCUCUUAUCAAGUUCAGCUCCUUCAGCCUCGAGCCAUUUCUCUCGCAAAUCAUCUAGGAGAUUCUCCUCAACUGUAUUCAAUUCAGCUCCUGGUGCACUUGGAGCUGUGGUACGAAGAGUGGAUUCUCCAGAAGGUGGUGGAAGUGUUAAAAGCAUAGCCCUGAACUCCGGAGUUUCAGCAAAUAUCUCAAAGUUACAAGCUAUUGUAUCAAGACAAUGCUCCCGAAUCUUCACUACGCCAUACCUGCAUCAUUUAAAAGAUUGUUCAAACAAAAUCGCAUUUAGCUAAAUGAACAAAAUAAAGCAUUGCACGACAGAGGUUAAACUGCAUUCAACAGAAGAAGGAAAAAUAUUUUACCCUCCUAUUUAAUUUGAUAAUCAACAGCAUGCCUAUUUAUAGGAAAUUGGUCAACCAAAAUGAACCAACAUGCAAAUUUUCUCAAAAAAAAAAAAAGGUUGAAAAUUGUCCCACUUAAAAAAAUUUGUUCUGAAAGCCUAACCUUCUAUUAUCUUUUACCAUGUCCGGGUACCCAAUUAGGAAGAUAAGAGCAUACAUGUAUUUAGCUGGAAGUUUACAAGCAGGAGCAAAAAGUCAGAAUCAUCAAAAUAUUUUUCCCUUAACCAUCUUAGAAACAAAUGCAAGGAAAAAAUGGGAAAUUAAAAUCUGGGGCCUCGGGCUACCAAUUGGCAGCCACCAGAUCAAGUACCGAAGUUUUUCCUCAAAAAUAAGAGCCAAGAGAUUGGCCACAAGGUUUAGGCCCAUCAUUUCAUAACAGAUAUUGUUGUGGUUUUAGUGGAGUUGAUCAGAUUGGAUUGAAGAAACUAUAGCCCUUUUGGUCUGUUCUCACAGAGCAUGAAAUUGUUCCAACUUCAACUUGAUGACAGGUCAAACAGCAUAAGUAAGAAUACCUUGAAGAAACAAACAAUGUUUAACUAACUAUAUGUGAAUACUUCAGCAGCAUAUUACUGGCAUGGAAGGCUCCUUUGCUAGCAAUAUCCACCUUUGCAGAUUAGUUUCCUCGUAAUAAGAAAUUUCAUUUUUAAGUUAACAUUUAUUUCCUAUUUAAAAUGAAAUGCUUAGAAGAUAUAGAAAAAGAAUAAUAUGAUAAUUUCAACUUUUUAAAGCUAGAAAAGAGUUUAAGAAGCAAUAAGUAUAAAGCAUAAACAAAAAGCAUACAUGUCUGACAACAUCAGCCAAUGACAGAGCUCUGCUGGAGGAACCAUUUCUAGGUGCGGCAACAGUGCAUCAGCGACAGCACGUUUAAGCGAAAAUAAAAGAUAUCUUGAUGCCACAUCAAACAACUCUUCAGCCUGCAUUGAGAAAAAAAACCAUCACCAAAAGCUUACUACCAGAAAUUAGUAAUCAAAACUCAACAAACAGCAUUAUUAUACAGCUCCAAUUCUGUUAAGAAUAAGAAUGUCGAAUGAUACCUGAUCAGGAUCUAUGUCCUUCAGGCCAUCAGUGUACCUAAAUCAGCACAAAAAUCAUACAUAUUAAGAAAAAGAAGCUUGAAGGUACAAAAGGUUGGACAGAGUAAAUAUGCCAGGAUCAUCUUUCCAGAAACUAAACACCUAACAUUAUACUGACAGUGAGCAACGGCAAAAUGAACAAGGACAAGAACCAAAUAUCACAAAAGUAAUAUAUGGGUCAUGAUGGGGUCAACAGAAUUGCUACAUCAUGCAUGAGAUGAGCUCUACCACUACGUGCUGUUAGAGUAAAUAUAUUCCUUAUUUCCUUCUAUCCAAUAUAUUUUCUUUCCAUGCUUUAAUAGUUAACCAAAUUAAAAGCCAAAUACACACUAAUAACAUCAGACAUAUAACAAGAAGGAAGCUUGAAGGGACAAAAUGAUAGAAAGAGUAAACAUGCCAGAAUUAUCUUUUGAGAAAGUAGAAUUCAUAAUGAAAUUUUGACAUUCUGGAACACCAAUUUGAACAAGAAACAGAAUAACUAAUAGAACAAAGUAAACAGGCCAUCAAAUCUCGUCUCAUGGGGUUAGCAAGGUCACUAUUCUACGCAUGAGAUACUACUUCACCAGCAUGUCCCAUUUUAGUAGCUAUAUUACUUAUUUCAUUCUCUUAAAUAUGUUUCUUUUGCAUGCUUCAACAGUUAACUCAUUAAAUACCAAAUAUACACUAUUAACAAGAAAAGUAGGGAGAUACUUGGCUAUGACACCUGAGUCAAAUUAUAUGAGCAUAGUAAAUAUUCAACUCACCUACGAGCAGGAACUCUAUGGCAAGUGGAGACCUCCAGCACAAAGAACUAUGAUUCUAAUUCAAACUUCAAACUACAUGACCUACUCGAAGUGAAGCAUAAACUUACAUAUAUUCUAUCAUUUUCUCAAAAGCACCCACGCUCAAAUCAUGUUCUUCAAGACAUGGAAGGGUACUAUCAGGCAAACUGUCUCUUCCUUCAUGGAACUCCUUAACCCGGGAUAAUCUUGCUUUGAAAUAUUCGGACCUUGAUGCUAAGAUGACUUGAUGGCACCUAAAAAUUUUCUUUUCAACUAGCACACAAACAUCUGCAAGAUCAUCUUCAAAUCCAACCAUCUGCAUUAAACCAACACGAGAUACAAGACUAUCAACAGGACUAUCCAGGCUUUCUUCUCUUGUUGAAUUGGCAAGAGAAAUUUGAAGAAUUUCAUGUAAGGCCACAGGAAGACGGUCAUCCUGUGGAAGGGAAAGACCCUGCAAAAUGAAUCGCUUCUGAGAGUUGUCUAUCUCCCUAAGGUCCUUGUAAUCUGCAUACUGUUGAUGGAUUAAUUCUUUCUCAAGAACUUUUUGAAGUGAUUGGCACUUGCAAACUCUGCAAAUUCUCACCAAGUCCUCCAUGUCAUCUACUGAGAUUUCAAGCCGAUCACUAUAAAAAAAGUGAAUGAGGCUAAAAAGAGCAGGGUAAGAUAGCUUUUCCCUUGAGAAUCUUAUUUCCUUGCGAUCCUUCCAAUCUGUCACAAAUUUCCUCUUAAAGAAAGGUGAACGGGCACUCAAGAUGACUCUAUGAGCUUCAAUAGGUCUUCCCUGCACAUAAAGCACAGCAUCUGCAGGGAAGUGGUCUGAAGUGGAUCCUCCAUUUGGUGAAUAACCUAUUGAUUCUAUUACUCCAGGUCAGAUUAAUGAAGAUAAGAAUUCCUGACAGAGAAAUGUCUAUAUAGUUUAUCAGUCAGAAAACAGCACAACAUGAAUUCCAAAAUGCUAAUAUUAAAUUAAUAUCAAACUAAAGCAUCCACAAGCAAAGCAAUCAGAUGUAGCAAAUCUUCCAGCGUGUUUCAGCAUAAUGCCACCUUAAAUCUGGCAAAGAAUGUGAAGCUUUGAUAUGCAUUUUGAAGGAAAAUUGUUUUACGCAAUUUUAAAAUAAAAUUGUGAAAUAAGUCUCAGAAGUAAGCCUUGUUUUUAGUUAAAGCCAUCAUGAGCUAGCACCAACUAAUGCAAGAAUAGAUCAAAAGGCAAGCAUCUCUUGGAAAACACAAACUGGAUGAAAGAAAAUAAGGACCAUCAAUCAACCCUAACUAUCAAUUGUUGUUUUCCAAAGGAUCUAUCAUAGAAGAGAAGCCCAUCAUAUAUAGCCUUAAAACCAAGCAAUAUAAGACCUAGUUGAAUCCAAAAGUUUCCCAGAAAGAAUCAGAAAACGAGUCCCAAGACCAUGCUUAAAUUACCCAAAAUGCUAAUCUUUGCACACAAACCUAUUGAAAACCUUUGCAAUCACCUUUAUUUGGCUAUUGUAUUUGUCCCAUUGGAAUUCUUUCAAUCCCCACGCCAUCAGGGCAUAACAAUCUUCUGCACCUAACUAUAUGCCCUCCAUGAGAAACAUUCGACUGGAGCAUCUUAAGCCGAAUAUUCGUACCAAAAAGUCAUUUUACUCCAGGCUUAAGUUGAACAUUUAUGGUUCUCGCCAAACACCAGGUUCAAUAACAACGUUUAGGUAAUGCUCUCAACCACUCAAAUGGUGCAAACCAGUGUUGAAUCAACAGCCGAACCUCGAUUUCAAGUUUUUCAAGAUUACACAAUCUUCUCAACACGGAAAAAGAACUCAGUGUGGUAUUUGUUAGUUACUCCAGCUUUCACAAGUUUUCUUCAUUUCUUCACAAGGAUAUUGGCCUCCCAAAUACUUGUCCUCUUUCCUUUCCUACUUUAGGACUUUUCUUUCUAACAUUUACACAUAAAAACAAGUAUUCUCAUAUGCUGUUGCUCCAAAGUAUUAAGCUUUUUCAAAGACAAAACAGUCCUUUUGAAUUCCUCGACUAAAUUUUCCUUCCUUUUACAGCAUAUUCUCUUUUUAAUCUAAGAACUAUACAUCAGUCAAAUGGGCAAGAACAAAAACAAAACAUUCAAAUCAGACCUGGAAUUGGGAAUUGAGCUUGGCCAUCCAGUUGCUCCAAAUAAGCCUUGUUAGCCCAACACCCCAAGAAGGUCUCCCUCAAUGCAGCCUGCAAAGGCCCCAAAGGAGGCGGGCGAGCUUCAAAUGCUUUCAAUAGCUUCCUAACUUUAAGAUUAAGCGCGGCAUAGUGACAGCGAUCGCCAUCAAACGUGUGCUCAGAGCAAAUGGCCCCGCUUUCCAAAAGCAUCCUAGCGGCAUCCAAAUGCCCCGCAAGGCAAGCGUAGUAAAGGGCCACCGAAUCCCAUUGGUCCCGAGCAUUUACGUUGACGCCGGACUCCAACAAGUACUUCAACCGGUCAACGUCCCCGGCCCUGGAAGCCUCAUAAACGUCGCCGUAUGGGACCUUUUUUAAGGGAAGUGAGGAGGUGAAGUCCUCAGGGUCCAAAUCAAUUCCAUCCAAGUCUGACAUAUCUGUAAUGGAGGAUCAAAAUUGCUAGUAAUGAUUAAAUGCCGCAAAGGUGUUCGAUGAAAUGCGUCAGUGAAGUUUGCUUUGUAAUUGUGGUAGAAAUUAAACAUCUGGGUUUUGUGAAUUUAAGGACAAAUCAUGCUGCUGUUGAAUUUUUUAAAUUUUGACCGACAGAAUUUCUGGGCUUUAGGAAUACUGAAAACGAUUUCCAGAAUUUCAGCAAGGAAGAUAGAAAGGAAGGGAAUGAUACCGUGACAGAGACUGUAUUGGGCCUUUAGCGUGGAAGGGUCCAACAUGGCUACAUGGAUUAAACUGUCAAAUGCAUCUAUCGACCGGGCUUUACUAAGCCCUGGGGUGAGUUAAGACUUAAAGGACUGGAAACUUAAGUAGUUACAGGCCUAAGAUUCGCCUCCUAGGCUGACGCUCUGAAUCCUCCAUUUCAGCCCAUUUAUUUCAGUGAUCCUUGGGCAGGCUAUACAAGAGGUUGAAAGCGAGGCACUCUUGAUGCGUGUCCAACUUGUUAAAAAAUAUUUUCAAUUAAAAGAAUUACAAAAAUAGUGUAAGUAAAUAUAACUAUUUUAUGUAAUAUGUCAUAAAAAGUGUAUUAUAGAGAAAUAUGUAUAAUUGGAAGCAAAAAAACUGUUAGUAAGGGAGAAUAUGAAAAUUGAAGGAAGGUCAUUUUGGUUGAAUAAGAUUUGUAUAUCAGUUGAUAAUAGAGAUAAUGAUUAAUGGAUAAUAAAGAUAAAGAUAAAUUUGAGAAACAAAUAAAGUUAAUAUCAAAUAUUUAACACCUAUUUUAUUUUUUAUUUUACAAACAUAUAAAGAUUAGAAUUUCUUACUCUCGAUCUGUAUCUCUUUACUUCCUUUGAAGUCCAUCUCUCUCGUUUUGUUGUUCUAUUUCUUGCUGUUCUUUCCUCUCCUUUCUUGCCAUUUCGGUUUAUACCCAAUUGUUGAUUAUGGAUCUGUAAUUAGUAUGUGUUUGAAAGAUGAAACUCAGAUGGAGACAUGACGUGAUUUACUGAAAGUGAGAGAAAAAUAAAUAACGACGAAAAAAGUAGCCAGAAAAAAAAAAAAAAAAAAAUAAAAAACUUCUUGUCAUUGAGUCGCGAGGUUUGAUUUAACCUAGCUUUCUUCUUUUACCUUCUUAAAGUAAACUGGUACUAGACACCUAUCCCGUUCACAGUCGAACAAUCCGAGUUUGAAAACACUUAGUUUUGAGAGGAUAGCACUUGGAUAUGAUCUCCUAUAUCGAUCCUAAUAUAUAUUGAAAAUGAAUUUUUUUUUUUUUUUUUUAUGUUUUCAUUUGCUUCUUAUCUAGAUUUUAGAUUUUUUUUUUUGGGUACAAGGGUAUUAGAUUUGUCACUAGGUAGAAAAAAAAAAAAUUUUCUAAAACUCAAAAUUUACCUAAAAGUAACUUUUUGGUUUCACAUUCUUUUUUUUUUGUAAAAGUACUUGCUAGAAUGCAAAAUUUAACCCAAAAAUAAAUAAAUUGUAUUUUAUCGUUCUCGCGUACUGUUGAAUUUUUAAAGAAAGAUCCACUUCUUGAAUUGUUGUUUUGGUAUGAGAUCAGGAAAGAGAUGACCUUAUAGUUUGAUCAGGUCCGGGUCCGCAAGCACGCUUCCAGGUAAAGGAACAGAAUUGCGUAAUGAAAUUGUGUGAAAUCGUUUCAUUUUCAUACUCCUGCCAGUUCAGAUCAGGCCUUAUAUAACAAGAAGCCACCAAGUACAUACCAAACCAAACCAAGUACUAAUCUUAUAUAUAUUAUAACAUAAUCCAUAUGUUUGCAGGGCAAUCCCGACAGUUUAUUCAAUCUGCAAGGCUAAGACAAGAAACAGAGACAGGUUUGCGUUUUACACACAAACUCCUAUUGGAGUUGUGCCACAACACGUACACUAAUAGUUAUAGCAGGCAACCUGGUGCGCAUGAUCUUGAGGGCACAUAUCUGAAACCCUCGGCCCUUCACCUCCUCGGCUGAAGCACCUUACUCAUGAUCUCAAACGUAGUGUCGAAGAAAUCCUUAGAGCUCAUUGUUGCCGAAAUGUCGGCUUCAGAGAGACGAUAUACUGCACUUCCCUUGUAGAAGAAUAAUAUCGUGUCUUGAUCGGUCAAGCUAUAGCGAGCUACAUGUUCAGGUACAUCUUUCUUUUCCACCUCGUAUAUGUCUGAGAAGAAGCUUAGGAUCCUGGAAUAAUAUGCUACCCAGUCAGUGACCUGCAAAUAGACAACAAGAUGACAGGUGGUUAGGGGCACAAAUACAUAACCAUUUUUUAGGGUUUGAUUUGUCAUUCUCUGGUGCAACGAAUAUUUGCUAAGUUUUAUUUCCAUGAGCGAAAAAGUAAUUUUAUGAUAUAAUGCUAGAAACAAUAGUUUCCUUUAACGAGAAUAUUUUAAAUAAAAAAUCUUCUAAACAUUGAAACGUAAAAAUUUCUUUUGGAUGAGUAUAUUUAAAACACCAAAAUAGUUGAUAAAUCUCUCAAAAUUCAUUUGGAUCAACACUGCAGAUUCGAGAGCACAACUAUGGCCUGUUUAACUUCGUCAACUUCUUCGAAAUUCGAGAAUCAAAUCGUGGCUUUAAUUGCAAGGUUACAAUACAAAUUUCUUGAAACAAAAAAAUAAAAAUAAAAAUCAUACUUUUGCUUACAUAAAGCUUACCAGAAAAAAGUUACUUUUCCUUUCUGAAACAUAAAGUGAAAAAAAAAAAAAAAAUUGCGACACUCAUUAAGAAGGGUUUCAAGUAAAUAUUUUGUUUUUGAAAAAAAUGUAAUUAAUUUAGAAAAGUAUCUAAAUGCAGAGGGCAUAAUAAUCGUACUUAUGUAUAUUCAUAUAGCAAUUUAAGUGUAAUCUAGAUGUGCUAAUGAGUAUUUAAUGGACACCCAUUGAAAAAAUUCAUUAAAACAAUUAUGUUGUGUUGCAGCCAACCGCUUAUAGAUAUAGAGGGUGCCGGAGAUGAUGUACCUUCCCGGAAUCCGGGUAACCUCGAUCAAAAAAUCUGAUGAUUACGAAGUUUUUGGAUGCAUUAUUAAUAGCUCGAUCGACUUUAAAGGCUCUAUCCAGGGUCUUCACGCUGGACAUGGCUAUUUUCUUUCUGCUCUUGCUCUUGCUCUCUCUCUCUCUAUAUCUCGAUCGCUGCUCUAUUUAUUUAUACACGAAGAAGCCUUUUGAUGCAAUUUACGUAGUGAAGUCACUGGUAUAUAUAGAUAGAUAUUCUAAACCACAACGCUGUGCCAAAGGAAAUUCCAUAACAAGCACAUCUUAUUCCAUUUGAUAACUUGUUCGAAUUUGCGCCGGCCACGAAAAGCAAGUGUCAGUUGGACAGCUGCGUAGCUGUGUGAGUGGGCAUCGUAUCUUUUGUGCUAGAGAUCAGAAAUCACCAAAGGAGAAGGAACAAUAUUUAGUUGGAUUCUUGACAAAUCCGAAAAGCAAUAAACCAAACAACUAGGCCUUAAACAAGUCAAACUUAUAUGUAUAUGUUUGUGUGUGUCUAUAUAUAUAUAUAUAUAUAUAUAUAUAUAUCUCCUUAAGUGUAAUACCAUACUUCACUUAAUUCCUUUAAAAUUUUUAUGGCAAAUGUUGUCAAAAGUGCAGUAAAUAGAACUUCGAGCAGUUAAAGAAAAAGCAAAUGAAGAAGUAAAAAGUAUAGAAGUGAAGGGAAUAGGAAAUUCGUUUUAAUCUAAAUUUCACCAUGAUCUUAUAAGUAACACUUAUUUUCAUAUAAAAUAUCAUGAUUGAAUGCAUGCGUGAUACAUAUGCAAAAUUUAAUUGUCAUAUACAAAACAGUGAUAGCAUAUAUAUAUAUAUAUAUAUAUAUAUAUAUAUAUAUAUAUAUAUAUAUAUAUAUAUAUAUAUAUAUGACAAUGUAUAGAAGAUUCAUCCUAUAAGUGAUAUUACUUACUUCUAGAUUUAUUCUUAUACUCUAGAUUUUUCUUCUUUAAUGAUUAAAAGAACAUAGAGCAACUUGUUUUCUGUUUUAUGUUGCCUUGAUAAUUUUUCUUCCUAGUGAAUUUAUGUUUUGACCUCUAUUAGUCUCUCACUUUAAAAAAUUAAAAGUUACAUGAGAAUGAGAAAUACACACAAUUUUAAAAAAAAAAAUCACUUCCAAUAACCACUUUAUUUCAUAACACGCUCAUAAAGAAAUUGUAGGAAUCAUUUUAAUAUCCUGUUCCUCUAGAUUUCUGGUAAUUGAUAAAUAUUGAACCGACCCUAGGUUCUUUUUCAAGAUAAACAAAUAAAUAAAUAAAUAACCCAUCGGCCUCUUGUUUUCUGAGCACAUUGUACAAAUAAGGAAUGGACUCCAAUUGAUUCUCUCCGGGACAAAGAACAGUACUGUGCAUCAUGUUGCAAUGAAAGCAAUGUGAAACGAAUCUAUCAUUGUCAUAUGCCAAUGUAUGCAUAGUUAAUUUAUUCCUCUUUCUUUGGCCUGUGUCCAAUAAAAUGUACUCUUUUUUCUGUUCGAUAAGCUCUUCCUAUCUGGAAAGCAUAUGAUUCGAUGUAGACCCGAUCCAGAAAUGGCUCAGGCCAUUGUAUGGAAGGCAUCCAAUUCGAAAGAAACCAGCAACGUACUCCUUUCAUUUCAUUGAGCCGUUGUCAACCUUUGCCUACCAAAUUCCCUAUUUUUUUUUUCUCUUUUUGGCUGCUCUUUUACUAGGUCUCUCAUAUUUUAUUCCCAUUUCAUAUGCCAAUUCUAAUAAUGCUCAGAUAAAAGAAUAAAUCUUUCACACAUUAAUAAUUAAUGGAUACACUUACGGAUUUAGACGUAUGUUACAUGUUCAAAAUAUUUUGUUAAAAUUAAAAUUAAGAUAUGUCAUAUUCAUCCAAAUCCAUUAAUAUAUUUAUUGAUGUAGAAAAUAUUAGUCGCAGAUAUUUUUUUUUUAUCCUUCAAACUUUUUUCUUUUCUUUUUAUAAUUUCCGGAAACUUCACAAGUUCAUUAGGAAGACGCAGAAAAAGGGCUUGAAGGAGCUGGAUUCAAGAAAAAACUUAUAGUACUAUUUACAUAUUGCUGAAACACACCAGAGUAGACUACAGAAAUCAGAAAAGCAUAUUACUCCAUCAGUAGGAAAGGGCAAAGCCUUACUUUUAAUGAUCAAAGACCUUAUUGCAGCCAUUUACUUGGUUUUGAUGCCAUGCUUAAUCUCAGGAAGUACCAAGUCAUCAGCAAAACGCCUGCCCAUAAACUCCUUCAUCAUGAAAAUGCGAAGCACAUCUUCUGGCGUCUGAUUUGCACUUGAUUCCACAAAGUUUCCCUUGUCAGCUGACCCCAUAUCCAAACCUCUGCUUUGCAUUUCUACUCUUUUUUUUUUUCAGAAACGAUAGAAAUUUUAUUUAUAAUAAUGAAGAAGACAUUACAUUAUAUGAGCCAGGACUCAAACUUGGAUUUUACAAAAGUGAACUAGGCCACUGAGGAGAUUAGAGUUCCUCAUCAUAGUAUAAGCAUAGCUAAUCUACUCAGUUUUGCACUGAGUCUAUUCACUUCAAUGGUAAACAGUCAAAUGAGCAUUUCCUAAACAUUGAAUUAAGAUCUUUUGUGUCCUCCAGGUGAGUUGCCAGGCUUAAGUUGCUAGAAACUUGAUACCUUAUCAGCGGAGACUUUCCCUCCGCCACCACCUCCAGUAACUUGGGUCACUUCUUUUGUUUGCUGAGAUUCUCAGAUUUCACAUCAUUCAUUGUCUCAGAAAUAAUUUUAGCCACUGUUUUUCCACCAGGGAUCAAUUCCCGGAGAGCAUGACGAGCAGCAUUUUGGGCGAACUUGGAAGCGAAAAGGGCGAUACUUGACCGGGUUUUCUCGCUGGGCAUGUAGUCAUUGAGCGCCCGCAUCCUGUUGACUCUGACGGCCUUAUCGAUGUUGCCAACUACGGCAGAGCUGUAACCGUAGGAGGCUUUGCAUGCAUCUAUGACGGCCGUUGGAGCGGGUGCGUUUCGCUUCAGGGCUUCAGUUGUUGAGUUGAUCAAGUCCCAGAAUCCCAUCUGCUGCUCUGCUUUUGUUAUCCCUCAAUUUUCAGAUGUGGAACCACUAUAACUAUUGCAGGUCUGCUAUUAGUCGCAGAUAAAUGUGAUGAUUGGUGAAUGAGGCGGCAAUGUCCCAAUAUAUAUUGAUUAUUUGGGAUAAGAGGGCUAAUUGGAGUGCUAAUGAAGUACAAUAGUACAUCCAAAAAAGGCCCAUUUUCUAGUGAUAACUUAUAAUCAAGUAAACUUAUAAAACUUAUUUAGCUAGGCAUAAAAUAUUAUCUGUAUUGCUACAUAACGCACUUGGUUGAGAUUGGGAUAUUACUUUAGGCCUUAGGGCCGUGGGAUCUAUUAUAUUUAAGCGGGCGUCAUGGGCGAUAAUCCCAUUAAAUUAGUCAGUUUAGGGCCAUGUCAUGACUAUAUAUCUUUUCAGAGGUACUCUAAUACCCUCUUUGGAUUGCUUUCACUGUAAGUAAGGUUGGAAUCUCCGACCUUCAAUUCGAAGAGAAAUUUAAUUCUUUUUUUAUGACUACUGACUCAAAACUCGGUGGUCGCAGAUGUCCAUUAUCAAGUAAUCACAAACAUGAGUUAGAAAGGCAGAAAGGAAGGUUUGGAAAAGCUUCCGACUGACUGGUUGAAAAAGUAAGUGAAGGAUGCCUUGGGAAAGCAUCCGACUAAAGCGAUAAGCAGUAUAUCGGUUAGUGCGUUCUCUUGGACUCUCUGCCUUAGCCUGCUUGUCCUCGCUUUCAGAAAGCGACCACAUCAGAGGCAGGGAAAGAAGCUUUGGGAGAGCAUCUGACAUGACUCAACUCGGUAGUAAUAAAAAUUGGACUAAGUUUGCUUAUUGACGUUGAACAAGAAAUAUGCUCGUAAACAAGAAACUCACAAGGUGAAAUUAAAAUUUCAAUCAUAAAUGGGAAAAAGAAAUCUCAUGCAAACAACUUUUGAUAAAGUCACGCAACAGUAAAUCAAGUAGAGCAGCAUAUUGUGGACGUGGAAGGAGGUCAAGCCAUGUCAUCUGCCAAUAGAUGGUAGCCCCCAAACAUGCCUGGUCGAGAAUGGAAAAGGACCGUUCGUAAAAGCAAAGGAAGGUGCAACCAGAAGAAGAUGACGGCAGGGAAACAGGCCACAAUGGUGAUGGGAAUGUAAGCCCACUUUUGCCUUGAUUGAAGUGACAGUCCAAUUGUUGUGCCAAAAGAUAUCAUCAUUGUAAUUACAGCAAUAGACAAGAAAACUAGACCUCUGAACAAAAUCUUGGGAAGUGACUCCAGAAAAUCGUCUUCUAUGUAUCGCGAUGUUUGAAUCGAAAGGAACAUAAGCAGAGAAACUGCAGAGGAUAUCAUGGAUAAUGCAUUUGAUAUGGAAAAUAUUGAGAAAAGUUUUUUCCUCGCCAGAACUGGCAUGCCCGUCUCACUAUCAUUGCCACCGGGUACGGUGAUCAUAGCAGCAAAUGCAACUGUUGCGACCAGAGUAGCUACCACCAUGCAUGAGUUUGAUAAAUCCUUCGUCCAUCCCUUUGCAUUCUUUAGCAACUUUUCAUGGGUAUCAGAGAAUAAUUCUCGAGGAGUUUUCCCUUCGUCAUUCUUUUUUAUCCUUAACUCGUAAUAGACUAUUGCUUCCACGGCCUGCAUGCAGUUAAUUUGAGGAUUAGUCUAGGUUUCUAUAUGCACUCCAAUUGCUAAUACUAGGUUUUUAUGUGCACUCCAAUUGCUAAUACUGGGGCAAAUACUUUGUAGGGGUAAAAAAUAAAAAAGUCCUCUGUGGAAAAUUUAAUAUACAGAAAAGUUCUCCGUGAUUUCAAAAUAUUCAACACGACAUCUCGUAUUUUGAACUAAAUUAUAAAUGUAACGGAAUCCGUUAAACUUAACGUAAAUGGAGAAAGUAACCAAAAUGCCCUGAUAUAAUUAAGCAAAAGACAGUUCAAAAAAAUUAUUUGUUUUAUUCUUUAGAUAGAGAGAAUUGAGGGUUAAGGGGUAAAACAGGUAUAUUUGUUAAAAAUUAGGUAUAAAAUUUUUUUUUGAGGUUCCAAUAAGUCAUAACACAAAAUGAGAAAACUAAGGACGCUACAAAAGGCUUUAGUUUUGGGUGCACUAUUGUGCGUUCUGGCAUUUGUUUUUGUUACACCAUAUAUUUUAAGGUGACACUUGCCUCUUUAGUUUAUAUCCUGUAGCCAUUAGGUUCAUUCAGACAACUAUCACACUAAAAUAUGGUGUAAUGUAGGUGUGAUAUGAAAAAGUAUGAUAGAAAGAUCCAAAACGCAGUAUUUAGAAGUAUGAUACGUGCCAGGUUAAGCAAGAAACUUGCAUGCAAAGGAGACUAAUCCAAGGUAUUGUAAAGACGGUUUAAAAUAGAUCGAAUUACUACAACAUGGCAUUACGUACCUUGAACCAUUGGAAUUCUAGCUGCAUCUGAAAUGCAGGACCUGGCACAGAAGCGACUUGAGAUGUAGAAGCCAAUUUUGCCGCCAAAUGAAGGAUAUUAUUUCCCUUAUCAGCUUGUAAUUCGGCAAAGGCCUUUGUAUUAUUUCCGAUCAACUCUAUUAUGUGAUUAAAUAUUUUCACUUGGCGAUGCUCGACGGCCACGUGCAAUAACAACAGUUUGGCUUUUCUGUUUGCAUACCAAAUUAGAUCAGGAAAAUGAUUUAAACACUCUUCUACAAGUUUAAAAGCUCCUUGCUCUAUGGCUAAGUGCAAGAUUGGGGUAUGAUUAUCAGGGAUGAAGUAUUCCUGAACAGAAUUGGUAUCUUCUUCCUUUUUUAACUGCUCGCAGACAAACUCUACAAUUCCAAGUGCUUGCAGGUGCCUUUCCUUUAUCUUGGACACCUCCCUUAUUACUGCAACAAAUAGAAAGACCAGACAUGUAAGCAUCGACAAGACUUACGUUUAAAUUGAAAUUUAGUAUAUUUGAAAACCUUAUUUAAGAAUAAUGGUGUCGUAUUUUAGUGACAUACUAUAGAGAGAUAAUAUGUUGGAAAAGUAAAAUUUUGGUUGGACAACAGUGUUUGAGAAAUAAUAUAAAAAUUUUCUAAAAAAUGGGCAACCCAUUCACAUAAAUUUGUAGGAGUUAGGGAUGGCAACGAGGCGGGGUUGGGGCGGGGGACCCCUCCCCCGUCCCCCGCCCCGUUGCCUAUUAGUUCCCCCCGUCCCCCGCCCCAUCCCCCGCCUCCCGCUCCCCCCGCCCCUGCCCCGCCUUGCCCCGCUUCCCCCGCGGGGUUAAUAAAAUUUUAUUAUAAUUAAAUUUUAAUAACUAAUCAAGUACUAAAAUAUCAACACAUCACCAAAUUAUUAUUCAUUGUAAUUUUACAAUUGAAACUCAUAAAAACAAUCAAACAGAAGUUAUUUGAAUACAAUCCAAUAUGAUGAAAUAAAUAUAACUAAAAUAGUCAAAUUUUCACUUUUUGUACAAAUGCAAUCACUAAUUCAUCAUUGUGUUUGUGCUUUUUUUUGAGAAAAAAGUGUUAUUCUAUUAAGUGUAAUUAGAAAUUUAGUAUAAAUGUAUUAGUAAAUUUAGUAUAACUAAUUAAUAAAUUAUAUUAGUAGACAUGUAUAAUUAUUCAUAUAAUUGAUAAUAUCAAUUAUAUUACAUAAACUAAUAUACAUUAUAUAAUACAUCUAACUAAUAAUAUCAUUAUCAUAAGUUUAUAAUAAAUUAACUUACAUAUAAUAUAUAGUCAUUUAUAUAUAUAUUUAUAUAUAUAUAUUUUUUGUUUUGCGGGUGGCGGGGCGGGGGUAUACUCCCCCGCCCCCCGCCCCGUUUCUAAGCGGGGGGAAAAAAUUCCCCCCCCGCCCCCGCCCCAACCCCCGCCCUGAUUGCCAUCCCUAGUAGGAGUUCAGCUACAGUAAUCUACGUACUAAUAAUUGAGAAAGAAAUGAAAAAUCGAAAAUAUUCCAAAAAAUCCAGGCUUGAGUAGUCAAUACCUGAAGUUGGAAAUUGAAAAAAAAAAUGAAGACCAUGAGAAUUCAAAGAAUCCAAGCUUAAGAAAUGCCGGAGCAUUAACCAUUGUACAGGACCAAACAUUAUUUGCAACCCAAAUUAGUGGUAAAAGAACUAAUAUCAUUCACUGAUUCACUAUAUUCCUCAAAAACGAAUUGGAGUAAUAAACAAAGAUAAAGUAGACACAGAACUUCAAUACCUUUUCUGAACUUGCUCUUAAAUUUAAAGAAUGAAGCUGCUGCGUCUCGUCGAUUCUUGCUAGUUGGUGAAUCCAUGUGUUCGUGUUCUGUUUCCUCCAUAUCAAUUGUUACCACUAAGAGCAAUGGAAAAUUAGAAAAAACAUCACACAUAUGGGGAACAGAUAAAAUCAGGAACUGCAAAGCAAUGCAGUUGACAGUCAGCUACUAACAAAUUCAAGCCACAUGAGAGAUAGAAGUCCUAUAUCUGAUAGGUGGGUAAGCAUCUUUAUUUUGUUAUAUCCUUUAGGCAAUCCACUUGGGGAAGAAUUUUUUUUUUUUUUUUUUUUAAGAAACCAAGAAAAGAAGGACCCAAGUCUAUAAGUUAGCUCCAUUAAAGUAGAGUUGCUAAUUAGUAGCAAGAUACCAACUGGGCAUUGAGUUUCCACUUUGCAUUUUUACUUAUAUAAAGAAAGGUAAAGGUAAUUCAAUCUGUUUUCAUCUUCAAAAUACUUAUUCCAUUUUAAACAGAAUUCUUACUUUAACUAAACAUAGAUUCAAGUAGAAAUUUGUUUGUCAAAGUAACACAAUAUAAAAAUUUCUAGAAUAUACUAUACAUGAACUAAAAAAUCUCAGGAUGGAACUGCAAGUUUUUUUUUUCCUUAUUUUAGAGAGCACUUACAUUCAUAGAUGCAGGAUUCCCAUAUAGAAAGUUUAUGUCCACUCCGAAACGCUAAAGGCUGCAUUGCAAGUGCAUGAAGUACGGACAUUCUUUGAUCAUUUGUUCGAAGAGCUAAUUGAGGAUAUCUCCUGAGCGUACACAAGGCUGUAUCUGCAAAAGAAAUCUAUAAUCAUUAGUACAGUUGGUUUGAAAGAAUUCAACUCAGACAUUAAGCAUUUGUAGAAGCCAAUUUUGCCGCCAAAUGAAGGAUAUUAUUUCCCUUAUCAGCUUGUAAUUCGGCAAAGGCCUUUGUAUUAUUUCCGAUCAACUCUAUUAUGUGAUUAAAUAUUUUCACUUGGCGAUGCUCGACGGCCACGUGCAAUAACAACAGUUUGGCUUUUCUGUUUGCAUACCAAAUUAGAUCAGGAAAAUGAUUUAAACACUCUUCUACAAGUUUAAAAGCUCCUUGCUCUAUGGCUAAGUGCAAGAUUGGGGUAUGAUUAUCAGGGAUGAAGUAUUCCUGAACAGAAUUGGUAUCUUCUUCCUUUUUUAACUGCUCGCAGACAAACUCUACAAUUCCAAGUGCUUGCAGGUGCCUUUCCUUUAUCUUGGACACCUCCCUUAUUACUGCAACAAAUAGAAAGACCAGACAUGUAAGCAUCGACAAGACUUACGUUUAAAUUGAAAUUUAGUAUAUUUGAAAACCUUAUUUAAGAAUAAUGGUGUCGUAUUUUAGUGACAUACUAUAGAGAGAUAAUAUGUUGGAAAAGUAAAAUUUUGGUUGGACAACAGUGUUUGAGAAAUAAUAUAAAAAUUUUCUAAAAAAUGGGCAACCCAUUCACAUAAAUUUGUAGGAGUUAGGGAUGGCAACGAGGCGGGGUUGGGGCGGGGGACCCUCCCCCGUCCCCCGCCCCGUUGCCUAUUAGUUCCCCCCGUCCCCCGCCCCAUCCCCGCCUCCCGCUCCCCCCGCCCCUGCCCCGCCUUGCCCCGCUUCCCCGCGGGGUUAAUAAAAUUUUAUUAUAAUUAAAUUUUAAUAACUAAUCAAGUACUAAAAUAUCAACACAUCACCAAAUUAUUAUUCAUUGUAAUUUUACAAUUGAAACUCAUAAAAACAAUCAAACAGAAGUUAUUUGAAUACAAUCCAAUAUGAUGAAAUAAAUAUAACUAAAAUAGUCAAAUUUUCACUUUUGUACAAAUGCAAUCACUAAUUCAUCAUUGUGUUUGUGCUUUUUUUGAGAAAAAAGUGUUAUUCUAUUAAGUGUAAUUAGAAAUUUAGUAUAAAUGUAUUAGUAAAUUUAGUAUAACUAAUUAAUAAAUUAUAUUAGUAGACAUGUAUAAUUAUUCAUAUAAUUGAUAAUAUCAAUUAUAUUACAUAAACUAAUAUACAUUAUAUAAUACAUCUAACUAAUAAUAUCAUUAUCAUAAGUUUAUAAUAAAUUAACUUACAUAUAAUAUAUAGUCAUUUAUAUAUAUAUUUAUAUAUAUAUAUUUUUUGUUUUGCGGCGGGGCGGGGGUAUACUCCCCCGCCCCCCGCCCCGUUUCUAAGCGGGGGAAAAAAUUCCCCCCCCGCCCCGCCCCAACCCCCGCCCUGAUUGCCAUCCCUAGUAGGAGUUCAGCUACAGUAAUCUACGUACUAAUAAUUGAGAAAGAAAUGAAAAAUCGAAAAUAUUCCAAAAAAUCCAGGCUUGAGUAGUCAAUACCUGAAGUUGGAAAUUGAAAAAAAAAAUGAAGACCAUGAGAAUUCAAAGAAUCCAAGCUUAAGAAAUGCCGGAGCAUUAACCAUUGUACAGGACCAAACAUUAUUUGCAACCCAAAUUAGUGGUAAAAGAACUAAUAUCAUUCACUGAUUCACUAUAUUCCUCAAAAACGAAUUGGAGUAAUAAACAAAGAUAAAGUAGACACAGAACUUCAAUACCUUUUCUGAACUUGCUCUUAAAUUUAAAGAAUGAAGCUGCUGCGUCUCGUCGAUUCUUGCUAGUUGGUGAAUCCAUGUGUUCGUGUUCUGUUUCCUCCAUAUCAAUUGUUACCACUAAGAGCAAUGGAAAAUUAGAAAAAACAUCACACAUAUGGGGAACAGAUAAAAUCAGGAACUGCAAAGCAAUGCAGUUGACAGUCAGCUACUAACAAAUUCAAGCCACAUGAGAGAUAGAAGUCCUAUAUCUGAUAGGUGGGUAAGCAUCUUUAUUUUGUUAUAUCCUUUAGGCAAUCCACUUGGGGAAGAAUUUUUUUUUUUUUUUUUUAAGAAACCAAGAAAAGAAGGACCCAAGUCUAUAAGUUAGCUCCAUUAAAGUAGAGUUGCUAAUUAGUAGCAAGAUACCAACUGGGCAUUGAGUUUCCACUUUGCAUUUUUACUUAUAUAAAGAAAGGUAAAGGUAAUUCAAUCUGUUUUCAUCUUCAAAAUACUUAUUCCAUUUUAAACAGAAUUCUUACUUUAACUAAACAUAGAUUCAAGUAGAAAUUUGUUUGUCAAAGUAACACAAUAUAAAAAUUUCUAGAAUAUACUAUACAUGAACUAAAAAAUCUCAGGAUGGAACUGCAAGUUUUUUUUUUCCUUAUUUUAGAGAGCACUUACAUUCAUAGAUGCAGGAUUCCCAUAUAGAAAGUUUAUGUCCACUCCGAAACGCUAAAGGCUGCAUUGCAAGUGCAUGAAGUACGGACAUUCUUUGAUCAUUUGUUCGAAGAGCUAAUUGAGGAUAUCUCCUGAGCGUACACAAGGCUGUAUCUGCAAAAGAAAUCUAUAAUCAUUAGUACAGUUGGUUUGAAAGAAUUCAACUCAGACAUUAAGCAUUUGNNNNNNNNNNNNNNNNNNNNNNNNNNNNNNNNNNNNNNNNNNNNNNNNNNNNNNNNNNNNNNNNNNNNNNNNNNNNNNNNNNNNNNNNNNNNNNNNNNNNNNNNNNNNNNNNNNNNNNNNNNNNNNNNNNNNNNNNNNNNNNNNNNNNNNNNNNNNNNNNNNNNNNNNNNNNNNNNNNNNNNNNNNNNNNNNNNNNNNNNNNNNNNNNNNNNNNNNNNNNNNNNNNNNNNNNNNNNNNNNNNNNNNNNNNNNNNNNNNNNNNNNNNNNNNNNNNNNNNNNNNNNNNNNNNNNNNNNNNNNNNNNNNNNNNNNNNNNNNNNNNNNNNNNNNNNNNNNNNNNNNNNNNNNNNNNNNNNNNNNNNNNNNNNNNNNNNNNNNNNNNNNNNNNNNNNNNNNNNNNNNNNNNNNNNNNNNNNNNNNNNNNNNNNNNNNNNNNNNNNNNNNNNNNNNNNNNNNNNNNNNNNNNNNNNNNNNNNNNNNNNNNNNNNNNNNNNNNNNNNNNNNNNNNNNNNNNNNNNNNNNNNNNNNNNNNNNNNNNNNNNNNNNNNNNNNNNNNNNNNNNNNNNNNNNNNNNNNNNNNNNNNNNNNNNNNNNNNNNNNNNNNNNNNNNNNNNNNNNNNNNNNNNNNNNNNNNNNNNNNNNNNNNNNNNNNNNNNNNNNNNNNNNNNNNNNNNNNNNNNNNNNNNNNNNNNNNNNNNNNNNNNNNNNNNNNNNNNNNNNNNNNNNNNNNNNNNNNNNNNNNNNNNNNNNNNNNNNNNNNNNNNNNNNNNNNNNNNNNNNNNNNNNNNNNNNNNNNNNNNNNNNNNNNNNNNNNNNNNNNNNNNNNNNNNNNNNNNNNNNNNNNNNNNNNNNNNNNNNNNNNNNNNNNNNNNNNNNNNNNNNNNNNNNNNNNNNNNNNNNNNNNNNNNNNNNNNNNNNNNNNNNNNNNNNNNNNNNNNNNNNNNNNNNNNNNNNNNNNNNNNNNNNNNNNNNNNNNNNNNNNNNNNNNNNNNNNNNNNNNAGUGCCAAUGUUAACCUUUUCUGUUUCUUCCAGGUUCGGUUUUGGUUUUUCCUCAUAUUGUUCAAAGUCCUUUGCAAAAGAAUCGAAUACUUCCUCAUUAUCACUCUCGCUUUGGAGUUCAGAUUCACAGACCUCCAAGUCGUGAGUGAUAUAGAGAUUGCCAUUAUCGUAUUCCAGAACUGUGAUAUCCAAAGGGUCAAAUAAUUUUAUUUUUGGCCAUCUGAAAGAAUUAACGAAUGUGGGAUAAUAAGUAAAUAAGCAUACAACAAACAAAUGAAUCAAGCAAUAUGAAUAUAAACAAUCGAAUAAACAACACAACAAUGACAAGAACAACUUGUGCAUUUUCAUAAAGACCUUUGAUUGAAAGCAAAUUGAAACGAAAACUUAACAAUAUUUACAUGCACAAACGUUAGUUAAAAGGAAAAUUGUUUUCAUUGGCUAUUUACAGAUGCAAAGGUAUUUUCAUGAAUUCACAUGAAUGAUAAACCCCUUUUAGUUUACCGAAACUCCUUCCGAACGGGCAGGGACUCGGCUGUCCAAUUGGGAAUUGAUCCUUCGGGGAUGUCAGGAAAUUCAGCUUCGCCUGGAACACUAUCCUCAAAUGUUGCCCCAACGAACAAUUGAGCCAAACUUGCUUCAAUUUCGUCGACUGGAUUAACCUCUGAUGUGAUAACCUCUGUUGGUCGUGGAAAAGUAUACCGCAGUGGUGGAAUGUCAAAAACCCUUUGCCUGCCCUCUUUCUCUGCUUUCUUACGUUCCUUCAUUUCUUUGAUAUCCUUAGCAGUUGGUCGGAACCCUAAGCCAAAUGAAUCUUUCUUCUCCAUAAUCUCCACUGGCUUCAAAACUCCUUGCAGAUUUCGUCCUAGUCCCUUGUCAAAUUCAUAACCUCCUCGGAUCAUUUCCUUAGCCAUCAUAACACUGGCCUUUGGUAGAACUUGCUCCUCGUUUGUGAUCCAACUUACAGAGACGAUAUCAGCCGUGCUAUGGGGAGUCAUGGUGACAUUGCGGCUUCCAUCCUCUUUUGUCCCAGAAUCAGUGAUUACAAGGCAAUCCUCUUCGGCAAAUAUAGUGAUCAGCUUGUCAUUCACUACAAACUUUAGCAAUUGAUGCAAUGAAGAAGGCACAGCCCCAGACUUGUGAAUCCAUGGCCUGCCAAGCAAAACGUUGUAAACACUAGAAAAAUGCAUGACUUGGCAGGUUAUUUGAAACUGGGCGGGCCCCAUUUCAACUACUAAAUCAAUUUCUCCUAUUGGCUCUCUUUGCGCUCCAUCAAAACCUCGGACUAUGGUCCCUGAAGGCCUCAACUUGACGUCUUGCAAUCCUAGCUUUUCCAAGGUGCUCCAGGGACAUAUAUUAAGAGCAGAUCCAUUGUCAAUUAAUACCUUCGGCAGCAUUUUUCCGUUGCACCUCACAACUAUGUACAGGGCCUUGUUAUGUCCAAUGCCUUCCGACGGCAAUUCCUCGUCGGAAAAAGUAAUUUGCUUGGUGAAGAGUACAUUCCCAACUACGUGUGAGAAAUUAUCAACUGAAAUGUCUCUAGGAAUUUGAGCUUUAGUCAGUACUUCGAGCAAUGCAUCCCUAUGCACAUCUGAUGAAAAAAGUAGAUCCAACAUGGAUAUUUGAGCGGGCGACUUGCUAAGCUUCUCGAUCACAUUGUAUUCGCUUCUUUGGAGCCUUUUAAGGAAAUCUAAGGCUUCUCUCUCGGUAAUUGUUGGUUUGGCGGGUGGCUCAGAGUUAUUUGCUUGAAUCGGAAUGGUUGCUUCAAACGGGCUUGCAAUUUUCCCCGAUCUUGUGACCACUGAUACUUCCUUCUUUGCAAUUGACCUUUCCCCAAUCUGCACGUCAGGUUCAUCAUAAUUCCAUGGUACUUGUUGCAGGCUCAGGACAGGCUCCUGCUUCGGGAAUUCAAUAACCACCGGCUCCAAAGACUCACUCUCAGCUGGCGUGAGAUCCAAGAUAAAGGGUUUCUCGUCCUCUUCAAAUGGCAGUUCUAUGACAAAAGGUUGGUCUGUGACCCCAAACACUUCAGCUUCCCUUGCCAAUUCUUUGACUGGUUCCACAUACUCCGUAUCAUCCAGAAUAACCCCAAUGGUAUUGGCAUGUUCCGGUAAAGGGUUCCUAUUUACGUUCGGCCCUUGCGCCUCCCUUUUCCGGAUUACAAUCUCCCCGGCUUCAACCAUAUCUUGGAUUUUAUGCUUAAGCGCUUUGCAAUCAAAGGUGGCAUGUCCGGGGCCCCAGAAUGAUAAGCACAGACAGCUUGUGGAUUAUACCACGCGGGCAUACCAUAUGGGUAGGUAGGAGGGGGUACUGUACCAAUUUUCCCGGCGGCCUUCAACUGGUCAUACAAUUGGUCCAGAGGCCUGCCUAAAUUGGUAAAUGUACGGCUAGGGGGUCGGUUGUAAGGUUCAGGAGGUUGAGGAUGGUUGUAAACAGGUCUAUUUGGUGGAGGAAAUCUUGGGUUAUAUGGAGGGCGAGGUCGGUUUUGGGGUGGAUUUGAUUGGGAAAUUUGAAAAGGGGCUGAAGGUGGGUUUGGAUAGCUUGGGCGAGGUCGAAGGUGGUGGAUGUUGGUAGUAUAUACAGGAUGCGGAUUUGAGUAGUAAGGGUAAUGGGGUUGGUAGAUUGGGCUGUGUUGGUAUCGGGGUCUGGGUGAAGGGUUUUGGUUCCAAAUAAAUGUUGCAUCCCCCUCUUUCUUUUUGAACGGCGGCUUCUUCACAUUGCUUCCCUGCCCUUGUAAAGCAUCCAACUGAGAUUUCAGGGCAGAGACAUUGACAAUCUUCCCGGCUCUCACAAAGUCGUCAAACUCUUCCAAUUUAUUCACAAUUGCAGCAAAAGAACAACCAGUCAUACGGAAAAUUUCUUCGAAAUAUGGAGGAUCAUGCGCCUUUAUGAAUGUGCGAAUAAUUUCAUCCUCAGUCAUCGGUGGCUCCACCUUCGCAGCUAUCUUUCUCCAUCUCUUGGCAUAUGUCUUAUGAUCUUCAGAUGGUCGCCUUUUCGUUCCUUCCAGAGUAGUCCGAGUUGGCGCUAGCUCACAGUUAUACUCAUAUUGUCUAAUGAAGGCAUUGGACAGAUCGAGCCAGGUCUUCACUUCCUCCGGCUUUAGGUUGGAAUACCAGUCAAGCGCAUCCCCUUCUAAGCUUUCUGGAAAUAAUCUCAACGGCAAAUUCUCGUCAUCCACUGGCUUGCCCAACUUGUUAGCAAACAAGCGCAGGUGCGUUUUAGGGUUGCUUGUUCCAUCAUAUUUGUUGAAUUUAGGGGUCUUGAACCCCACUGGCAGUUGCACGUUCGGAAACAGGCACAAAUCAUCAUAAUCCAACACCCCUUGUUUGCUUAAACCUUGGCUUUUCCGGAUAAAUUCAUCAAAACGAUCCAAGCGUUUAAGUAACUUCAUAUUAAUCUGGGCAGACGACUCUCCCAUUUCUGGCUUAUUUUGAAAAGUGUGCUCCGGCACCACGGGCUCCGCGGUGGUUUGAUAAAAAGCUGGUGGGUUCUGAUGCAUGUUUGGGUCGCUUUGAGGCUGAAAUCCUUGACCAUAAGGAGGGUAGAAAGGAGGAUUUUGAGUAAAAGCAUAUUGCGGGUUAAAAGUUCCCUCAAAGGUGGUUUGAAAUGGAGGAAUAACAAAUGGUUCGGAUUGUGGUUGUGUAGCGGGUACAGGCUCAGGUUGCACUCCGCUACUAACGAGCUCGUCAAUCAACUUCUUCUGAGCGGCCAUUUCUGACGCCAUUUCCCCAAAUUUUGUGAGUAACUCUGUCAACUGAACCCCAGGACUUGCAGCUUCCGGCUGGGUAGUGGCAACGGCCUUAUCGGAUGAUUCUGGUUGAGUACUCAUGUCUACACGAUUCCUUUGGGCCUUACUUCGGGAUCGCGUAAUAAUGGGGCUUUUCCGAAAAGCUAUUUUGAAAUUUACCUGAAAUGAAGAAAGAACUCCCUUAGAUAAACCAAUGAUUACUGAAUUUCUGCAAUUUAUUCAAAAAGAGAAAAAAGAAAAAGGCAUGAGUUAGUAAUUAUUCGAAAAAUUCGGAUGCAUGUCCUAUGGGGGGCCCUUUUUGUGCCAAGGGUAGGCCUAGCAUGAUGCAACACUUUCGGAAUGAGACCCAUUAAUCAAACCUGUUAUUUGACAAACACUUUGUGAGAAGGGAUUCAUUGCAAAAACCAAAUACAUCUGUUUACAUCAUAUUGCGAAGGCGAUUUUGUACAAGAUCACCAAAGUUCCUAAGCCUAUCUAGUACAGAGUCUUUACUCUCUCUAGUAUAUGGCAUCUGGACACGUUCGGCUUGAUCAUAUAAUUCCCCACAUUUCCGCUUCAUCUCUUGGCGCCUUUCUCGCUCCUUCUCAUAUAACCUCUUGUUUUCUUCUGCCUUUCCUUUGUGCACUUCGAUGGAUUUCUUCAACUGUACCACCUCCAUGUCCUUGGCUUUAAUGAUGGCUCUCAGCUUCUCAAUUUCCUCAUACGGCUCAUGUUGCAACCCUUGCGUGGUGGAAUCUUUCAACCAAUCCUCGUAUGGUGCGGUCAUUACCCCCUUCUGUUUGAGCUCCGGAAGAUAACGAAUGCUUCUAUCGUCGGAUAUUGUUCUCCAAGAUUCAGUGAUUUGACUCUUCAUAGGGAUCUCUUUUGGGCAUACCCCCUGAUCAAAGAAAAUGGUGACUUCACUAAACUCGGAAAUCGGUGGCGGCCCCUGAAUGCGACCUAGUUGUCUGAGAAAUCUUUUCGGGGUAUAUAUGAGAUGAUUCCUUGAGUUCCCAGCAGAACACGUUUGGAUUCCUUAGUGCGAAGUAUCGGCUCAAAGCAGUCUGUCCAAUCUAAUACCCACCUAAUGUUGAAAUCUUGCAAUGUUUCCAAGUAAUCCACACAUUCGGAUGCGUUCUUAGGUAGAUCUCCCUCGUUGACUCUUUUGGGAUGUGUGAUUACCCAAUUAUAUCCAACCACCGCAAACUAUCGGCAACUGAUGCUUGUCUCUUAAAAUGUUCCGUAGCCCAUAUGUAAGAACCAAGUUCGCCCCAUGGAAAAACUUUUCUCCCUUUCGACAACCAGUACAAGCUAAGAAAAUAUCUGCGAGAAUGGUCGGGACUAUAGAGCAUUGCUUACCCUGAAUUCCUAAGAAAAGGUCAUUCACAAUUUUUGCUGAUUUGAAGGCUAUCUUUUGAUCUUUUCGCGGAAAGAGAUAGGUCCCAGCCAUAACUACCCCAUAUACUAGUAGCCUUUUGCGCUCCCAUACGGCUUUGGAAGUGAACACAAAAUCCGUCACAUGCCUCUCGAAUCCAUCGCGUGGCGCAAAUCGUUCAAACAGAAUAUUCACAGCGACGCCCUGAUCUGACCCUCGUAGCACGGACUCUUUCAAUCCUAUAAUUUGACAAAAUUCGGCCUUGUCGGAAGCAAAUGGAAGCACCAAGGCAGUUCCUCGUGUGGGUAAACCAAGGAGGCCAGCUACUUCUUCGAGUGUUAUAGUCAUUUGCCUAUUGCCUAUUCUAAAAGCAGUACACUCGGGGUCCCAAAGAUGAACUAAAGCCUCUACCAAGUAAUUGUUGGAUUUGAUCUGCUUAAAGUCUCCAAUUGGUCCUAAAAAUUGGGCUACUUGAUUCAAUUCACUAGGUAACAUGAAGGUGGGCCAUUGUUGAACCUCAGUCGACGGUAUUAACAAUUGGUAGAUGCGGCGAGGGCAAGCCAUCUGAUAAUGAAGAGGUAGUUUGUCAAUUACCUUACCUACGAGUCUCAUUCCUCCAGUUAUGCGAUAACUUAAACGUGCAGUCCCUUGAAGGGUUAAAUACCCAUGGGACACAAAAGGGUUGGUUUUAUUCCUAAAACGGGAUUCCCUACGUGGCGUUCCCUUUCUAGGGUUUAUGCAUGAUGCCAUUUUAUUAAAACAAUAAAAUAUGCAAUUUGAAAUGAAACGUGACCUAAGGAACCCUUUAUUUGCCAGAGUAGGCCUAAAACGGUAUGGCAUUAUGAAUUUAUGAACAAAAUAAACCAUAAUUUGUCAAACGUGCAAUAGCCUAUCUACAAGGGUAGGUCUUAAAAGAAGGUCAUGCCAGACCUCUUAUUUCUUAAUGUUUGUGAAUGCCAAAAACAAAAAACAAGGAAACGUGAGCUCAACACAUAAUCACAUAACACAUUUUGGACAAAUAGAUAAUAUAAAAGGCAAUAAAGAUAAAUAAGAAAAGAGGGUUGGGACCCCUCCCCUCGUGAAUAGUGUCCCUAGUUCAGGAUAAUGGCUGACUCUACCCUAGGCAAUUCUAAUAUGAAUGCAUGAGGCUUGGCUUACUAAUGCAUCUAGACUCGAUAGGUCAUAGGCCCCCGAGCCUUCAGACUUAGAAACCAAGGGUCAUCAAUCCCAAGGUUCUUUGUCGGUGGCUCGAGCGAUUCCCCAAACACCGCUACGCACACAUCGUGUCACGGCUACGUGUUUGAGUGAAUCUAUCAAAACUUCAAUCUUCGACCAAAAGCUAAAGGCUAUCAACCAAUAGCUUUAAGCGGAAGAUUGAGUGACCCAUUGGAACAUGCUACACACACAUCGUGUCGUGAUCACAUGUCCAAGUGAGUCACCUAAUCCUAAUAGGGUGGAGUGGCGUGACAAGCCACUAAAGAAAAAUAAAAGGGAUAAAUAAUUAAAGCGUAUGCACGUAUGCUAGUGCUCGUUUGGAGGGGAGGGAUCAAGAACCAACGCGAGGCUCUAAGGUGAUGUCCCCCACCCAAAUGCAAUGCAAGCGCGAGAUAAACAAGUAAACAUACAUCCAAUCAACCAAUCAUACAUUCACGAGCGAGGGAGUAGUUGGAUACGCGUGAAAUGCAAAAAAUCCUAAAAAAGGAAAAAAUGCAACCCUAAAACACCCAAAUGUGAUAUAUGAAAAGGUUAAAAGAAGAAAAAGAUUGAUUAAAUCAAAUUUGCUCGGACUCUCGAAAGUCCCCAGUGGAGUCGCCAACUGUCGCGCCCCAUUUUUUUUUUUUGAUAAAAAUAAAAAUGAAUGGUUUGAGAAAGAUGUAUUUUGUGAUUUGGAAAAUGAAUUGUGAUUUAAAAGAAAGAUGGGUCUAAAUGGGACUUUUGAAACUGCGACGAUUUGACCCAAGAAAAAUAGUUCAAAAAGGGUUUUUUAUAUGAAAAAUGGAGUCGCCACUUGGUAUAGAGUUAGGGUGUACCAAGUCACCCAAAAAGUGAAUUUUUAAGGAAAAAAGUAAGAAACCCUUUUGAACGACUCCUAGUCCACGCAAACAAAGAAAAAGAUUCGGGAGUCACAUUUGACGAAGGGGAAGGCAAGGAUAAAAAUCCAAGGCACCCCUUCGACCUAGCCAAGGCUAGUUGCGUUGAUUUAAUCAAAAAUUUUCUUGUUUUAACCAAAGAAUUUAUUACAUUUGGAUGUGCUACAUGAAUGCAAAACCCUAGACCUAGGGGUAUUGGGGGAAAUUUCUCUUCAAAGGUUGAGUGGUGCCAAUCACAUUAAUUGUGAAGCCCAAUAACGAUCCUUUGAAGAAGUCACGAAUAAUGCAAGUGAGAUGCAAAUGAAGGAAAUGCAUGUAUGCAAUGUGAAGGCAUGAGUUUGAAAAAGUAAUAAAAAACAAAGAUGCAUAAGUGAAAAUGUGCACGUGAGUGGGCAAGGUAUGGUAUGUGCGAUGGUAAUAUGAAGUGCAUGUGCAAGUUAUGAUAAAAAGUGCUAGUGUGCAAGUGAAGGGAUAAAGAGAUGCACGUGUGCAAAAAGUGUUCGUGUGCAAGUGAAGGGAUAAAAAGGUGUACGUGUGCAAAUAGGAAGAAAAGUGUUAUGAUAGAAUGGAUGCAUGAACCUAGGGAAUUCAUGCAUAAUGGGUACGGGGAGACCUAAAUCGUGACUCAAUUUGCCCUUUGAUAGAGAGGAUACAAGCGUGCUAAGGCUUAGAAAAAGCCACACUCGUCUAUAUCCCAUAUUUAAGGGGAUUUUCACGCAAAUGAACCCUAACUAGCAUGAGAUGCAAGUCCUAAAGUGAAGGGGAAGGGGUUUGAGGAACAUACCAAAUGAUAAGCUAAGGAAAAAUGCGUGAUAUGUGGUGAUCAUGCACUUAAUGAAAAAGGGAAAAAAGAACCUAUUGGGUCUAGCAUUGGACUAGCCCAUUCUAUGAAUUCCGACUAGCGUUGGACUAGUGGAAACGAUAAAAGAAGCCACAACUAGCGUUGGACUAGUGUGGUGACGUACAUUCAUCCAUUCCAUUCAUUUAUACUUACGAAAAACGAGUAGACAUGCGAAUCACUUAUAAACACGUAGCACAUAACACUUAGCAUGCUUGACUAGAUGCAAAAUCCUAAUAAAGCAUUUAACAUAUAACACAUAGGCAUGCAACCAAGCUAAUGAACUUAUUACAUUCACUAACUAAAACAAAAGGGGAAGGGGAAAAUGGACCAAAUUGCUCGCCACAGCCCUAUCUAUUACAAGCCAAGAGGUGUACACAUACCCCAUUUAAAAGAAUAAUUUAAUAAAAGCAAGAAUGAAUGAAAUAAUGGAACUAAAGAAUGGUAAUGAAAGCAAAUUAGGCAUGCGAUUCACACUUAGCACAUUGGAUCACAUAGGAGAGACAAAAGGGGUAAAAGAGAUUAUACCUCCCCGUUGGUGAUACUAAGGAAGUAAACAAAGUCAACUUGGCUAGAGUCACCCAAGAAAAGACUAACUUAGGCUAAAAUCACCAAAAACAAAAGAUUAAUGCACCAAUUUAGUGAUAAGAUAUAAACUAAAUAAUUUGAGCCCACCAAAACAUCAAACUUUCUUCAAU
This 36358-nucleotide long non-coding RNA is filed under the name Coffea arabica (coffee). RNAcentral's name for it is "long non-coding RNA (CARA_LNC007070)". Lineage: Eukaryota; Viridiplantae; Streptophyta; Magnoliopsida; Gentianales; Rubiaceae. The record is from RNAcentral.